AGUCACUGACAUUAGAUACCCGUGUAGUCCAGGGUGUAAACGCUGCAGACUUUGGUGUUGGAAGCCCUUUGGGGGCAUUCAGUGCCGGAGAGAAGUUGUUAAGUCUGCUACUUGGGGAGUACGUCCGCAAAGGAUGAAACUUAAAGGAAUUGCGGGGAGCACCGCAACGGGAGGAGCGUUGCGGUUUAAUUGGAUUCAACACCGUAAAACUCACCAGGGAAGACUGUUACAUGAAGGGCCCGAGAUGAACGACUCUGCUAGAUUUUCAG
This 269-nucleotide ribosomal RNA is filed under the name uncultured archaeon. Its description in RNAcentral is "partial 16S ribosomal RNA". It matches the Rfam family "Archaeal small subunit ribosomal RNA", at positions 717 to 982 of the family's 1478-position model. The record is from RNAcentral.